Molecule: long non-coding RNA, 692 nt
Organism: Exaiptasia diaphana
Lineage: Eukaryota; Metazoa; Cnidaria; Anthozoa; Actiniaria; Aiptasiidae
Exons: 2
Source: RefSeq, a predicted model, not a curated record
UGUAAGGUGCAGUCACUGUAUAAGUAGUUUUUGCCAAUCAAACUAUAUUGUCUCUAUAACAACUUCCGUUAAUAUGAGAUCAGCGUCGAUAUAUAUACGAAAGCAGUAACCAAAGGUAUUUUACAUUAACCUCUGCCGGACUGCAGUGAACACUAGAGAUCUUGAAGAGUUUGGUGCAACAGAAUACAACAUGAACAGACUAGCGCUUGUAAUACUCUUCGUCUGCUUGAGCGCAGUGCUCAUCAACAACCAAGUCGACGCAUUCUUUAAGGCAGGUCGUAGUUUACAUGACCGACAAGCUGCUAGACAAGUUGACAACGCCAUGGAAGGUGAAAUUGGCGCAGCUGAUGCAAAGGAACUCUGGGAAGAAUUUGUAAAAGCCAGAAGUGCCGAGAGAAAACGAGCUAUGCAAGACAGGCAGUGAUUCCAAUUUUUUACUUCCUAAGUAACCCUUUUGAAAAACGACAUGGCAAAUGAACUUACGCAUACAYCUAACUAUUGUAAAUAAAUUGUGGUCAGCCACUAAAACACGUCUUGAUGUGUUAUAUUAGAACUUUUUGGGGCUUCUUCUGUGACCAAAUUAAAAAAAUGCAAAAAAAAAAAAAAAAGAUUGCAAGCCCCUUGAAUUGUUAUCGAAGCACAGGAAAUGUAUGCAAUCUGAAGCACAAGAAUAAAAUCAUCAAUUCCAAUUA